Molecule: ribosomal RNA, 540 nt
Filed under: Hyla intermedia (Italian tree frog)
Lineage: Eukaryota; Metazoa; Chordata; Amphibia; Anura; Hylidae
Description: partial 16S ribosomal RNA
Rfam family: Bacterial large subunit ribosomal RNA
Source: RNAcentral
CCUGCCCAGUGACUCUGUUCAACGGCCGCGGUAUCCUAACCGUGCGAAGGUAGCGUAAUCACUUGUUCUUUAAAUGAGGACUAGUAUGAAUGGCACCACGAGGGUUACACUGUCUCCUUUUUCCAAUCAGUGAAACUAAUCUUCCCGUGAAGAAGCGGGAAUAAACAUAUAAGACGAGAAGACCCUAUGGAGCUUUAAACUCAAUAACACUUGCUUUAAGUACCAAUACUUCAGAGUAACAAACACUUAUUACGGCCUCCUGAUUAUUAGUUUUAGGUUGGGGUGACCGCGGAGCAAAAGACAACCUCCACAUUGAAUGGGGGAAUACCCCUGAGCCACGAGCUACAACUCUACGCACCAAUAAAUUGACAUCUAUUGACCCAAUAUAUUGAUCAACGAACCAAGUUACCCUAGGGAUAACAGCGCAAUCCGCCUCAAGAGCUCCUAUCGACAGGCGGGUUUACGACCUCGAUGUUGGAUCAGGGUAUCCCAGUGGUGCAGCCGCUACUAAAGGUUCGUUUGUUCAACGAUUAAAACCCU